This 594-nucleotide ribosomal RNA is filed under the name uncultured bacterium. RNAcentral's name for it is "bacterial SSU rRNA". It matches the Rfam family "Bacterial small subunit ribosomal RNA", at positions 338 to 947 of the family's 1533-position model. The record is from RNAcentral.
CCUACGGGAGGCAGCAGUAAGGAAUCUUCCACAAUGGACGAAAGUCUGAUGGAGCAACGCCGCGUGCAGGAUGAAGGCUUUCGGGUCGUAAACUGCUUUUAUAUGGGAAGAUUAUGACGGUACCAUAUGAAUAAGGACCGGCUAACUACGUGCCAGCAGCCGCGGUAAUACGUAGGGUCCAAGCGAUAUCCGGAAUUACUGGGCGUAAAGCGUGUGUAGGUGGAUUAAUAAGUGUGAUGCGAAAUCCGGCGGCUCAACCGUUUGGACUGUGUCGCAUACUGUUAGUCUAGAGGACGGCAGAGGUAAGUGGAAUUACGGGUGUAGCAGUGAAAUGCGUAGAUAUCCGUAGGAACACCAAUGGCGAAGGCAGCUUACUGGGCCACACCUGACACUGAGACACGAAAGCGUGGGGAGCGAACAGGAUUAGAUACCCUGGUAGUCCACGCCGUAAACGAUGCAUACUAUUAGUAUGGGGUAUCGACCCCCUGUGCUGAGAAGCUAACGCGAUAAGUAUGCCGCCUGGGGAGUACGAGCGCAGCUUAAAACUCAAAGGAAUUGACGGCUGAGACGNGCGAGACGACGACGAGGGAGAGG